GUCCAGACUCCUACGGGAGGCAGCAGUGGGGCCUCUUGAACAAUGGGCGCCAGCCUGAUGCCGCCAUGCCGCGUGUCUGAAGAAGGCCUUCGGGUUGUAACGUCCUUUCAGCGGGGAGGACGGUGCUGCGGUUCCUAACCUCAGCAAUUGACGUUACCCGCAGAAGAAGCACCGGCUAACUCCGUGCCAGCAGCCGCGGUCAUACGGAGGGUGCAAGCGUUAAUCGGAAUUACUGGGCGUAAAGCGCACGCAGGCGGUCUGUCAAGUCGGAUGUGAAAUCCCCGGGCUCAACCUGGGAACUGCAUUCGAAACUGGCAGGCUGGAGUCUUGUAGGGGGGGGUAGAAUUCCAGGUGUAGCGGUGAAAUGCGGAGAGAUCUGGAGGAAUACCGGUGGCGAAGGCGGCCCCCUGGACAAAGACUGACGCUCAGGUGCGAAAGCGUGGGGAGCAAACAGGAUUAGAUACCCGAGUAGU
Molecule: ribosomal RNA, 473 nt
Filed under: uncultured bacterium
Lineage: Bacteria
Description: bacterial SSU rRNA
Rfam family: Bacterial small subunit ribosomal RNA
Source: RNAcentral